This 599-nucleotide ribosomal RNA is filed under the name Saccharomyces cerevisiae (brewer's yeast). RNAcentral describes it as "partial large subunit ribosomal RNA". It matches the Rfam family "Eukaryotic large subunit ribosomal RNA", at positions 45 to 659 of the family's 3401-position model. The record is from RNAcentral. Lineage: Eukaryota; Fungi; Ascomycota; Saccharomycetes; Saccharomycetales; Saccharomycetaceae.
AAUAGCGGAGGAAAAGAAACCAACCGGGAUUGCCUUAGUAACGGCGAGUGAAGCGGCAAAAGCUCAAAUUUGAAAUCUGGUACCUUCGGUGCCCGAGUUGUAAUUUGGAGAGGGCAACUUUGGGGCCGUUCCUUGUCUAUGUUCCUUGGAACAGGACGUCAUAGAGGGUGAGAAUCCCGUGUGGCGAGGAGUGCGGUUCUUUGUAAAGUGCCUUCGAAGAGUCGAGUUGUUUGGGAAUGCAGCUCUAAGUGGGUGGUAAAUUCCAUCUAAAGCUAAAUAUUGGCGAGAGACCGAUAGCGAACAAGUACAGUGAUGGAAAGAUGAAAAGAACUUUGAAAAGAGAGUGAAAAAGUACGUGAAAUUGUUGAAAGGGAAGGGCAUUUGAUCAGACAUGGUGUUUUGUGCCCUCUGCUCCUUGUGGGUAGGGGAAUCUCGCAUUUCACUGGGCCAGCAUCAGUUUUGGUGGCAGGAUAAAUCCAUAGGAAUGUAGCUUGCCUCGGUAAGUAUUAUAGCCUGUGGGAAUACUGCCAGCUGGGACUGAGGACUGCGACGUAAGUCAAGGAUGCUGGCAUAAUGGUUAUAUGCCGCCCGUCUUGACC